This 797-nucleotide ribosomal RNA is filed under the name uncultured bacterium. RNAcentral's name for it is "bacterial SSU rRNA". It matches the Rfam family "Bacterial small subunit ribosomal RNA", at positions 60 to 869 of the family's 1533-position model. The record is from RNAcentral.
AGUCGACGGACUCAUAUUGAAACCUAGUGAUUUAUGAGUUAGUGGCGGACGGGUGAGUAACGCGUGGAAAACCUGCCGUAUACCGGGGGAUAACACUUAGAAAUAGGUGCUAAUACCGCAUAAGCGCACAGCUUCGCAUGAAGCAGUGUAAAAACUCCGGUGGUAUACGAUGGUUCCGCGUCUGAUUAGCUAGUUGGCGGGGUAACGGCCCACCAAGGCAGCGAUCAGUAGCCGGCCUGAGAGGGUGAACGGCCACAUUGGGACUGAGACACGGCCCAAACUCCUACGGGAGGCAGCAGUGGGGAAUAUUGCACAAUGGGGGAAACCCUGAUGCAGCGACGCCGCGUGAGUGAAGAAGUAUUUCGGUACGUAAAGCUCUAUCAGCAGGGAAGAAAAUGACGGUACCUGACUAAGAAGCCCCGGCUAACUACGUGCCAGCAGCCGCGGUAAUACGUAGGGGGCAAGCGUUAUCCGGAUUUACUGGGUGUAAAGGGAGCGUAGACGGCAGCGCAAGUCUGGAGUGAAAUGCCGGGGCCCAACCCCGGAACUGCUUUGGAAACUGUGCAGCUUGAGUGCGGGAGAGGUAAGUGGAAUUCCUAGUGUAGCGGUGAAAUGCGUAGAUAUUAGGAGGAACACCAGUGGCGAAGGCGGCUUACUGGACCGUAACUGACGUUGAGGCUCGAAAGCGUGGGGAGCAAACAGGAUUAGAUACCCUGGUAGUCCACGCCGUANACGAUGAUUACUAGGUGUCGNGGGACCAAGGUCCUCCGGUGCCGGCGCAAACGCAUUAAGUAAUC